RNAcentral lists this ribosomal RNA (253 nucleotides) under uncultured bacterium. RNAcentral's name for it is "partial 16S ribosomal RNA". It matches the Rfam family "Bacterial small subunit ribosomal RNA", at positions 524 to 776 of the family's 1533-position model. The record is from RNAcentral.
UACGGGGGGAGCAAACGUUGUUCGGAAUUACUGGGCGUAAAGGGCGCGUAGGCGGCUCGAUUAGUGGAAUGUGAAAGACCCUGGCUCAACCAGGGACGUGCAUUCCAAACUGUCGAGCUUGAGUAUAGGAGAGGGUGGGGGAAUUCCCGGUGUAGCGGUGGAAUGCAUUGAUAUCGGGAGGAACACCAGUGGCGAAGGCGCCCACCUGGCCUAAUACUGACGCUCAGGCGCGAAAGCUAGGGGAGCAAACAGG